This 541-nucleotide ribosomal RNA is filed under the name uncultured bacterium. Its description in RNAcentral is "bacterial SSU rRNA". It matches the Rfam family "Bacterial small subunit ribosomal RNA", at positions 777 to 1315 of the family's 1533-position model. The record is from RNAcentral.
AAUAGAUACCCGGGUAGUCCACCCCGUAAACGUUGGGAACUAGUUGUGGGGUCCUUUCCACGGAUUCCGUGACGCAGCUAACGCAUUAAGUUCCCCGCCUGGGGAGUACGGCCGCAAGGCUAAAACUCAGAGGAAUUGACGGGGACCCGCACAAGCGGCGGAGCAUGCGGAUUAAUUCGAUGCAACGCGAAGAACCUUACCAAGGCUUGACAUACACCAGAACACCCUAGAAAUAGGGGACUCUUUGGACACUGGUGAACAGGUGGUGCAUGGUUGUCGUCAGCUCGUGUCGUGAGAUGUUGGGUUAAGUCCCGCAACGAGCGCAACCCUCGUUCUAUGUUGCCAGCACGUAAUGGUGGGAACUCAUGGGAUACUGCCGGGGUCAACUCGGAGGAAGGUGGGGAUGACGUCAAAUCAUCAUGCCCCUUAUGUCUUGGGCUUCACGCAUGCUACAAUGGCCGGUACAAAGGGCUGCAAUACCGUGAGGUGGAGCGAAUCCCGAAAAAGCCGGUCCCAGUUCGGAUUGAGGUCUGCAACUCGA